GACGAACGCUGGCGGCGUGCUUAACACAUGCAAGUCGUACGGUAAGGCCCUUUCGGGGGUACACGAGUGGCGAACGGGUGAGUAACACGUGAGUAACCUGCCCACAACUUUGGGAUAACGCUAGGAAACUGGUGCUAAUACUGGAUAUGUGCUCCUGCUGCAUGGUGGGGGUUGGAAAGCUCCGGCGGUUGUGGAUGGAAUCGCGGCCUACCAGCUUGUUGGUGGGGUAGUGGCCUACCAAGGCGGCGACGGGUAGCCGGCCUGGGAGGGUGACCGGCCACAGUGGGACUGAGAUACGGCCCAGACGCCUACGGGAGGCAGGAGGGGGGAAUAUUGCACAAUGGGCGCAAGCCUGAUGCAGGAACGCCGCGUGCGGGAUGACGGGCUUCGGGUUGGAAACCGCUUUCAGCAGGGACGAAGCUUUUUGUGACGGUACCUGCAGAAGAAGCACCGGCUAACUACGUG
This 465-nucleotide ribosomal RNA is filed under the name uncultured bacterium. RNAcentral's name for it is "partial 16S ribosomal RNA". It matches the Rfam family "Bacterial small subunit ribosomal RNA", at positions 28 to 507 of the family's 1533-position model. The record is from RNAcentral.